Procambarus clarkii (red swamp crayfish) is the source of this 437-nucleotide non-coding RNA. The record is from RefSeq and is a predicted model, not a curated record. NCBI's taxonomy places the organism in Eukaryota, Metazoa, Arthropoda, Malacostraca, Decapoda, Cambaridae.
ACUGAUUCCACAGGAUGUCGACAACGUCCCAGAAACACAAAAUUUUUGUUUCGGAGCCGAUGGGGAGGAAACUGGUGACAGAAGUACCUGGUGUGGGCCAGGCAACAGGUCGCAAGCUGUCCAACCAUGGAUGCACUCAGGCAACCAGUUUGUUGGGAGAGUACUUGACAAGGCAAGGGAAGGAGGGCUCUUUUGAAAAGUUCAUGCAAGACACCGCCAGUGCUCGACCUCAACAUGCCAAAGCAACGCAUAACGCACUGAAGGAUUGGAGUGACAAUAACAUCAUGUAAAUGAUUGGUUGGCCUUUUAGACCACAGGUGCAAGUGGAACAUUGCAAACUUCCAGCGAUGACUGCACAUUAUUUCAAACGCUACGCGUGCUAGUGGCUGAACAAGAAUGUGACAAUACUUGUAUAUAUAAAUAAAAAAAAAACUGUA